AAUGCUUUUUCAGGUCAACUUUGACAACUAUGAAGCAGUUCUGUCAUUUGUGCUGUUGAACAACAACCACUGGAAGCUGCUGUACAUAAAUACAGAAGCCGGAACUGUAUUCCUGGUAGAUCCUGCACAAGUGUCAUCUGAGCUUGUGGACUCUGAAAAGGCAGCUAAAAGAAUACAAGAAUACUUCAAGAUGAGAAGGACAUGCCAUGGGAAAACAGACUGGGUUGCGAUCCAAUGGAAAGGGGCGACAAUGCGCCACCCUAUUCAACAAUAUGGAAGCAGCUGUGGAGUUAUUGUAGUCAAAUAUGUUGCCUUUUGCAAUUGUUAAUUUGAAAAUGGUGGAGGAUUGGCAGUGAUUCCGACCAAAUGGUUUAUCAGGCCUGAGGAGGAUGAAUGCUAAUGGCCACCAGCAAGAGUUAACAUUGCAAAGGUGGUCAUAGACCAACAGGACCCACACUCUGACUGGGCAACCUACAAGUUGACUGUCAAGAGAA
This is a long non-coding RNA of Cyprinodon tularosa, 494 nucleotides long. RefSeq lists it as uncharacterized. The record is from RefSeq and is a predicted model, not a curated record. The transcript is spliced from 4 exons. NCBI's taxonomy places the organism in Eukaryota, Metazoa, Chordata, Actinopteri, Cyprinodontiformes, Cyprinodontidae.